Long non-coding RNA from Gallus gallus (chicken), 2297 nucleotides. The record is from Ensembl. NCBI's taxonomy places the organism in Eukaryota, Metazoa, Chordata, Aves, Galliformes, Phasianidae.
UUUGCAGUGGAAGUUUCCUGUAUUUUCUGUAUAUAGAAUAGGAUAAGUAAUGUUUUACAAAGAAAACUGAACAGAGUAAAGUUGAGACUGGGGCGUUCCGACCUAGGUAGAAUUAGCACAGGUACUAGGGUAAAGAAGAUACAGAACAAGUGAAAAUGUUGUCCUCCUAUUGCUAUAAAAAGUCCAGAACAUACCCAAACCCAUGGGUUGGAACAGACAUUGCUAUGGAAGUAUAAUGUAGCUAUGGAAGUAUAACUGUAGUUAUGGAAGUGUAAAUAUAGCUAUAGAAGUGUAACGUAGCAAUAGCGUCAAAGGUAAUGAGCCUAAGAUGUUCAACCAGUGUGUGCCAGGAGAGGCUUUACCUGCGUCAGACCCAGGGUAUAAAAAUGGAUGGAUUUUACUGUCUAGUUGUGCAAUUUCUUCCUUGUCAGUAGGGGGUGUGCGCCCAUUAUUGCAAUAAUAAAAAAACUGCUCUUCACAGAGAUCUUUGCCUGAUUAGAAAUUUUUGAUCUUGAGCGUGUUUCUCACAGAAGUGAAAAUAACCAUCAACUCAAAAAUUACAUCUAUGAAAUAAUGUGUUCUGUAAUAAUCUAAAUAAUCUGAAAAAAUCACUGUUUUUUUCUUUGAAGAAAGUCUUUUGUGCUGUGUUGCCAAGGCUGAAGUAUAAGCACAAAAUAUUUUAAACAAAUCUCAUGUCUCCGUAUAGACAUUUGCCUAGACAUGCUAGGCAAAGAGCAUGUUUCUGUCUAAAAUUGUGACUUGCCUUCAGUUGGCAAAUGUGCGGUCCUGCAGCAAGCUGAACACUUUUCAGUCAUGCAGGUGAAACUGCAACAAAAGUUUAACCAAAGUCUGACACCUACUUAACAGAAAAUUAGGCUAAUCAUUCUUUAUGCAGGGGGAAUUCACAAACCUCUUUUUUUUACUUAAUCUGUGCUUUUCCUCCAAUUCCCCUUGCAUCCCACUGUGCCCAAUACCUUACUCCUGACGGGACUACUGCUAGUUUUUAAAGCACUAGAAUAAAGUAUCUGUGACUUUUUUGGCCAAGACUGAACAGCCAUAAUCCAUGCAUAAGCCAUUGAUGAUGCUGUGGUUUCCCAUUUCCCACAUAUUUUGCUGUUUGAUCCCUAGUGUGCUUAGUAAAUUAUUGUAACUAACAAGGGGAGAAAGAGCUGUAUAUCACAGUGCCAACCCUCCCAGGGCUAGUGCGCAGCUGCUAUGCCUCACAAGAGCUACAUCAUACUGCAACAUGAUGUGGCAUAUAUAAUCUACAAUAGUAACCAUCAGUUAUGUCUGAAUCAUUAGCUGUUUGAAGGAACAUUUAAUGGUUCCUUCAACGACUCUAUUCAUUCUUCUUACAUUAGCUGUUAAGCUAUCAUCUAUUUAUGUACAUAGUACCUCCAUACCUGUGCAGGCAACAGCUCCAUUCGUGUUUUGUUCAGCGGAGACCAGAUGAUAAGUAUGUGACUGAUAAAAUACCGUGUCAAUCAAGGAGAACCUGUGCAGCAGCUGAAUUAAUCUCAUUUUAUUUCUAAACGUACAUUGAUGAGGUUCAGCUGAACUCUGGUAUAUGAAUAAAAGAGGGCCAGGCUGGACAAUGCUUUCUUCAAUUUAUAUGUGGAAAAACAAAGCAAGGCCUCUUUUCAUCUGCUCAGCAAAACGGUGGAGAUUGCACAGUUUGUACCAGCUGAAAAUCCUGUAUCUGUCAUGAAAAUUAUAGUCUUUUAUGCUGACCUUUGCUUUCUCUUCAGUCUGCACUUUUGUCUAUACUGCGGUCUCCAUGACUGUUCUGCAGAACCCUGUUUUCUUCUCUGAGACUGCAAUGGGCCUAUAACAGCCUACAAAGACUUCCUCAUCAUCUCUUCACCAUUACUGUUGCAUUCCACUUAAUUAUAUUUCCUAAUUUCUUUUUUUCUCCACCACUGUCUGCAUUCUGCAGUUAAAUUAUUUGAAACAUAGGUCUAAUAAACUCUGUUGGAUUGCUUUUUAUAAUGAAUAUGAUGUUAUGAUAUCAAAUUUGCAGGAUCAGGCUUUGUAUGUUAAUUGUAAAAGACUUCCAGACUUUGAAUGAAAUUCAGCCCUGUAUUUCAAUUCAUCUUCAGGCAGAGUAUAACUGUUCACAAGAACUAAUGGUUUUGUGUGAUAUGCUAUAUCAUACUUAUUUCCCAUAGCAACACAUUUCUGUGUCUGCUAUGAAUAACUGAUCUCUAUAUAGACUAACACUGUUGUUUAAUAUAGCAGAGAUUUCUAUGUAUCUGUUAAGACAUUGUGCAACUCAAACACCAAAUAAAUAAUAAUUC